RNAcentral lists this ribosomal RNA (219 nucleotides) under uncultured bacterium. Its description in RNAcentral is "partial 16S ribosomal RNA". It matches the Rfam family "Bacterial small subunit ribosomal RNA", at positions 122 to 334 of the family's 1533-position model. The record is from RNAcentral.
CGAAUCUGCCCUUGAGAGGGAAACAACCUGCCGAAAGGCGGGCUAAUGUCCCAUAAGACCACAGGAUGGCAUCAUCCAGAGGUCAAAGCUCCGCAAGGGGCGCUUGAGGAGGAGCCCGAGGCCUAUCAGCUAGUUGGUGAGGUAAUGGCUCACCAAGGCUUUGACGGGUAGCCGGCCUGAAAGGGUGAUCGGCCACACUGGCACUGAGACACGGGCCAG